This 559-nucleotide long non-coding RNA is filed under the name Helianthus annuus (common sunflower). RNAcentral describes it as "hypothetical non coding rna". Lineage: Eukaryota; Viridiplantae; Streptophyta; Magnoliopsida; Asterales; Asteraceae. The record is from RNAcentral.
CACACACACAAAAAAAAAAAAAAAAAAUCAAAUGGACAAAUUUAUAAAACUACCAGCAAGAUCCCAAGGUUCUGAUUUGUAAACAUCAACUUCUGAAACAGCUUCAAACCGAAACGGUUUCCGACAAACCUUGCGCCUCAAGUAAUACCUCACAAGUUCCUCAUCGGUCGGGUGAAACCGGAAUCCAGGUGCAAGUGACGUCGGCGCCGGCGAUGAUGACGUUGCCGGCGGUGGCGCCACUGUCAUCAACUCAAUAUGACUCAUUUUCUCUUUGUUUUUUUUUUCUUUCUUUGUGGGUAUCACUCUUUUUGAUGAAAUAAGGAUUGUAGUUGAAGCAAGUGAGCUACAUGAUGAGAGAGAAAGAGGAUAUGGAUUGUCUUGUAUUGUACUGUGUUUGUGUUGUUUUGUGGGGUAAGAAACCACCAUUGAUGGGUGAUGAAUGGAUACUUGCUUGAUACGGAAAUCGAGUGUGUGUGUGUGACACUGUUGAAACAUGUUUAUGGUUUGAUUGAUGUAUGGUUUUGAUUUUCAAUGUUUGAUUUAUGACUUGGAAGAGUAG